This 304-nucleotide signal recognition particle RNA is filed under the name Antirrhinum majus (snapdragon). RNAcentral's name for it is "Plant signal recognition particle RNA". It matches the Rfam family "Plant signal recognition particle RNA". Lineage: Eukaryota; Viridiplantae; Streptophyta; Magnoliopsida; Lamiales; Plantaginaceae. The record is from Rfam by way of RNAcentral.
GCUGAGCUCAGUAACGUGGGCUUGUAACCCAAGUGGGGGCAUUAAGGUUACUGAACGUUGGGCCGUUCCAAUUGGCUGGACUCAAGGUGCUAUUUACUGGCCCGCCCGUUCCAAGCGGGGAGUUGGCCCACGGAAUCCAGGCGAAGGCUUGGGCUUCGAGGGCCUUAGAGAGGAGGGCACCGCGUCAGGCUGGAUUUACAGAGCAGCGAUAACUUCCCACUCUCUGCAGUUGAAGGAUAACGGGCCGGUGCUCCUUGGGUCCAACAAAGCCAGUUGAAUCGGUCUUAAUUGGACAGUAACCUUU